Molecule: ribosomal RNA, 225 nt
Filed under: uncultured bacterium
Lineage: Bacteria
Description: partial 16S ribosomal RNA
Rfam family: Bacterial small subunit ribosomal RNA
Source: RNAcentral
AGUAACGCGUAGGCAAUCUGCCCCCAACUGAGGAAUAACCCAUCGAAAGGUGGGCUAAUACCACAUAAAGACAGACGACCGCAUGGUCGACUGUCCAAAGUUCAGGCGGUUGGGGAUGAGCCUGCGUCGGAUUAGCUAGUUGGCGGGGUAACGGCCCACCAAGGCGACGAUCCGUAGCGGGUCUGAGAGGAUGAUCCGCCACACUGGCACUGAGACACGGGCCAG